GUCUACGGCCAGGCCACCCUGCACAAGCCCGAUCCUGUCCGAAGCUCAGCACGGUUGGGCCUGGUUAGUACUUGGAUGGGAGACCACCUAGGAAGACCAGGUGCUGUAGGCG
Molecule: ribosomal RNA, 112 nt
Filed under: Pteropus alecto (black flying fox)
Lineage: Eukaryota; Metazoa; Chordata; Mammalia; Chiroptera; Pteropodidae
Source: RNAcentral